Hipposideros armiger (great roundleaf bat) is the source of this 414-nucleotide long non-coding RNA. RefSeq lists it as uncharacterized. NCBI's taxonomy places the organism in Eukaryota, Metazoa, Chordata, Mammalia, Chiroptera, Hipposideridae. The transcript is spliced from 3 exons. The record is from RefSeq and is a predicted model, not a curated record.
UAAUAACACUUAUUUUACAAGCUUAUUAUGUGAAUUAAAUAAGUUAGUAUUAGUGAAAGCAUCUGGCACAGACCCUGGGAUUGAGCACGGUGGUGAAUAAAUAUUGGUGUAACUCAUUCGCGGAUCCAUUCAUUCAUCCUCUCUUAUGGCUUCAGGCCACUGCUCCUGGCAGAUGUGGGAAGAAGACAGACCCUGACGUGCCUCCCUCGGCCCAGCCUUCUGCAGGCGGCCUCAGCUCUAGAGACCUGCUGCUCUGUCUUUCCCUCUGCUCAUCCUGAGCAUCUGCAAAACCCAUUUGCCAGGGGAGCUCACGGUCCAGCCAGGUCUCUGUGUGAUCCUCGGAGUUCCCUCCUCGGAUUUAUUCUACCAAAGAAGCUCUGUUUGUGUAGGGCUCUGGGGCCGGCCAAGUGGCGC